This is an RNA transcript of Megalopta genalis, 2743 nucleotides long. It is a transcript of the gene named acetylcholinesterase, with no coding region annotated. NCBI's taxonomy places the organism in Eukaryota, Metazoa, Arthropoda, Insecta, Hymenoptera, Halictidae. The record is from RefSeq and is a predicted model, not a curated record.
GCGCGUAACGAACGAUACCAAAACAUUUCGAUCAGCGUUCUCGGUAUAUAAGCGGUACGUUUCGGCAAUCUUUUAAUCCCGUCGCGUCGCGUCGCGAUCAUGCUGGAGCAUCGAAUACGAAUAGCUAUUUUAUUGUUGGCGUCGUCGAGGCGGUGUCUGGCCGAAGAUCUUCCUCGAACGGACGUGGUUCGUACCGCGAGCGGGCCGGUGCGAGGAGUAAUCAAGAAAACGGUAUGGAAUUCCGUGGAGUACUCGGCCUUUCUGGGGAUUCCGUACGCCGAACCUCCCCUGGCGAAUCUCAGAUUCAAGCCUCCGGUUCCGAUCAGCCCGUGGAACGAGGUGCUGGACGCCGUCGAAGAAGGCAACGCCUGCCCGCAGAUAGAUUUCUUCACGGCUCGGUACACGGGCAACGAGGACUGUCUGUACCUGAACGUGUUCACUCGACACGCGAAGGUUCGUCGACGCGCCGCAGCAUCGAUAUUCGAGUCCUCGAGGAAUCUACGCCGACGUCGAAAGUUUCGAAACGGAACGGGACCGAGACCCGUGAUGGUGUGGAUCUACGGGGGAGCGUACCUGGCCGGCUACAGCAACGCGAGCUUCUACGGGCCCGAUUUCUUCCUCGAAGAGGACGUCGUCUUCGUCAGCUUUAAUUAUCGCAUCGGCGCGCUAGGAUUUCUCUCGUUGGACCAUCCGGACGCUUCGGGCAACGCGGGUCUGAAGGAUCAGCAUCUGGUUCUGAAAUGGGUGCAGAAGAAUAUCGCGGCUUUCGGUGGGAAUCCGAGGGAAGUGACGAUUUUCGGGGAAAGCGCGGGCGCCGCUUCCGUAGGAUUUCACAUUUUGUCGGAGAGAUCUAUAGGGCUGUUCCAUCGAUCGAUCGGCAUGAGCGGAACGCCUUUGUGCCAGUGGGCGUACCAUACUCCCGCGGAGGCUUACCGCAGCGCCGCCGAGCUCGCGCAGCUUCUGGGCAAAGCGGAGAUCACGAAGACCGGUUUGCUGGAGCUCCUGCGCGACGUUCCUGCGGACGCUCUGGUCAACCAGGCGAUGAAACUUAAUCUGAACGACCUGCUGCCGUUCCGACCGACGAUCGAGGAUCCCGCGGUUGCGACCGACGACAGCGCGUUCAUGACCGAAUGCCCCAUCAGGAAAUACCUGACCGGCAACUUUACCCAGCACCCCAUGAUGAUGGGACGCACUCACGACGAAGCGUUGUUCUUCUUAGACGACUACGUCGGCAACCCGUCGGACCGUGCCAAGACGAUGUCGAAAUGGCUCGGACAAGUCACGAACAUCGACGAGAUCCUGACCGAUCGAAUCUCCGACGCGAUGGCGUUCAACUUGGAUCAGACGUCGCCCGAGUUUCUCGAGCAGAUUUUGGCUAUGUUAACCGACGUCUUCUUCACGGCACCCAUCGACUUGACUCAGAGAAUCGUCUCGAGAUGGAACUCGGGUUAUCCGAUUUAUUAUUACCGGCUCUCGUACACGUCCGCGUACAGCGUUCACUCGCUGGUGGGUCAAACCGUGAAAGGGACCGGUCACGUCGACGACAUCGGAGACUUGUUCAACGUGGCAUCGUUGAACGCGCCGACGGACCCGAAACAUCCGUUCAAUAUCUUCCGAAGAAAAAUGGUGAGGCUGUGGACGAACUUCGCCAAGCAAGGAGAUCCUACGCCGAAGGUUUCGAGCCGUCGGACCGACGAAGAGUUCGACGUGAUUUGGACGGACAGCACAGAAUCGGGGAUGCAAUUGGAUAUCAAAGAGGAAUCGGUGAUGCGACCGCGUCUGGUCGACUACGUCGCUCAGACUUACGAGGAAGCUUUGUUCGCUCGUCUUCCGUUUCAAUCGGCGUGCAUCGAUUUGUCGCUGAUUCCUCUCGGCAUCUUCAAAUUGCAGCUUUGACGCGUUAUUCUCCGCUUCGAGCCCUGCCAAAGAAUGCCACCGAAAAUCUGUUCGUCUCGUAAGCCGGCAUCGCGACGCGACAGGGACUCGAAGCUUCGGCGCCGGCUCCUCGAGCAUCGGCCGCGAGCAGCGGAGCAACCGACGUCCGACUCGAUCGAUCGACGGAGAGCUGGCUCUGGAAUUUCGCGCCAGUUAGAAUUUUGCGUCGACUGGCGGAAUACCUGCUCGAUAUUCUGAAUCCAGGCGGUCGAACACCGGCGGCUCUGCCGCCAGCAGCGCCUUCGACUCUCCCAGCAGCGCCUUCGACUCUCCCAGCAGCGCCUUCGAUUCUCCCAGCAGUCUCGGGGCCCCCAUCGGGGAAAGGGGACGUUGGAUCGCCGUUGCCCGUUGGCGGAGACCUCGCGAGCAAUCUGCUGCACGCCGGAGAAAGCUUGCCGAAAGCUUCCGUUCCGAAAAUAGGAAAGAGGGAUGUCCUCGAAGAAAGCGCGUCGGACUCGUACAGGCGGAACGAACCGUUCGGAAUCGCGUAGAAUCGCCGACGUCGCCGAAUUCGAGCGACGUAAGCGCGAUCGCGACUGGCACGCGGUUAUAAUUAUCGGACUGCGGAUCUUUGCGCGUUGUCCGAACAUUUUUUCAACGACGGACAACGUUUAUCGGUCGAAGUUGCGAACUCGUUCGUUUUAGUUUAUUAUCCCGGGAAACGUUUCGGUCGGCGAAACCGUCGAUUCGCGCGAAGAUCCGCAGCCUAGCGAUUAAAAAGUUCGUAUACGCGGAACAUCGAAUGUCGCGAGAUCGUGAGAUCGAUUCGAUGAAAUAUUAUUUCUUCCGUUGCCGCGUAGGUGCCGCG